UACCGAGGUCCCGAGCGUUGUUCGGAUUCACUGGGCGUAAAGGGUGCGUAGGUGGCGUGGUAAGUUUGAUGUGAAAGCUCAGGGCUUAACCCUGAAAUGGCAUUGAAUACUACUAUGCUGGAGGUUUGGAGGGGGGACUGGAAUUCUUGGUGUAGCAGUGAAAUGCGUAGAUAUCAAGAGGAACACCAGUGGCGAAGGCGAGUCCCUGGACAACACCUGACACUGAGGCACGAAAGCUAGGGGAGCAAACAGG
This 253-nucleotide ribosomal RNA is filed under the name uncultured bacterium. RNAcentral describes it as "partial 16S ribosomal RNA". It matches the Rfam family "Bacterial small subunit ribosomal RNA", at positions 524 to 776 of the family's 1533-position model. The record is from RNAcentral.